Molecule: ribosomal RNA, 253 nt
Filed under: uncultured bacterium
Lineage: Bacteria
Description: partial 16S ribosomal RNA
Rfam family: Bacterial small subunit ribosomal RNA
Source: RNAcentral
AACGUAGGGGGCCAGCGUUGCUCGGAAUUACUGGGCGUAAAGGGUUUGUAGGCGGUGCGGCAAGUCGGGGGUGAAAUCUUCAGGCUUAACUUGGAGGCUGCUUCCGAAACUGCCGUGCUAGAGUGCGGGAGAGGCGAGUGGAAUUGCAGGUGUAGCGGUGAAAUGCGUAGAUAUCUGCAGGAACACCAGUGGCGAAAGCGGCUCGCUGGACCGCAACCGACGCUGAGAAACGAAAGCUAGGGGAGCAAACAGG